CGGAACCCGCCGAGUACAGAAAUCGCCUAAUCUCGAGCUCUAUGUAACAAAAUUCACCAAUUCAGUCCAGAAAUUGCAGCAGUGAGGUACAACAGGGAUUCGACCAAGCUAACCUUCCCCAAAAUUCACAAGUAAGGGCUUCGUGGAUUCCUCUCGCAGUCCCGAAUCCAACGAACCAAGCCUCGUCGAAAUCCGAUGC
RNAcentral lists this long non-coding RNA (199 nucleotides) under Ananas comosus (pineapple). Its description in RNAcentral is "long non-coding RNA (ACOM_LNC033064)". The record is from RNAcentral. Lineage: Eukaryota; Viridiplantae; Streptophyta; Magnoliopsida; Poales; Bromeliaceae.